This 314-nucleotide ribosomal RNA is filed under the name uncultured bacterium. RNAcentral's name for it is "bacterial SSU rRNA". It matches the Rfam family "Bacterial small subunit ribosomal RNA", at positions 28 to 342 of the family's 1533-position model. The record is from RNAcentral.
GACGAACGCUGGCGGCGUGCUUAACACAUGCAAGUCGAGCGGUAAGGCCCUUUCGGGGGUACACGAGCGGCGAACGGGUGAGUAACACGUGGGUGACCUGCCCUUAGCUCUGGGAUAAGCCUGGGAAACUGGGUCUAAAUACCGGAUAUGACUCCAUGACGCAUGUUGUGGGGUGGAAAGCCUUGUGCGGCUAGGGAUGGGCCUGCGGCCUAUCAGCUUGUUGGUGGGGUGANGGCCUACCAAGGCGACGACGGGUAGCCGGCCUGAGAGGGCGACCGGCCACACUGGGACUGAGACACGGCCCAGACUCCUAC